This 694-nucleotide ribosomal RNA is filed under the name uncultured bacterium. Its description in RNAcentral is "bacterial SSU rRNA". It matches the Rfam family "Bacterial small subunit ribosomal RNA", at positions 32 to 715 of the family's 1533-position model. The record is from RNAcentral.
AACGCUAGCUACAGGCUUAACACAUGCAAGUCGAGGGGCAGCGGGAUUGAAGCUUGCUUCAAUUGCCGGCGACCGGCGCACGGGUGAGUAACGCGUAUCCAACCUUCCGUACACUCAGGGAUAGCCUUUCGAAAGAAAGAUUAAUACCUGAUGGUAUGAUGAGAUUGCAUGGUAUCAUCAUUAAAGAUUUAUCGGUGUACGAUGGGGAUGCGUUCCAUUAGGUAGUAGGCGGGGUAACGGCCCACCUAGCCGACGAUGGAUAGGGGUUCUGAGAGGAAGGUCCCCCACAUUGGAACUGAGACACGGUCCAAACUCCUACGGGAGGCAGCAGUGAGGAAUAUUGGUCAAUGGGCGAGAGCCUGAACCAGCCAAGUAGCGUGAAGGAUGAAGGUCCUACGGAUUGUAAACUUCUUUUAUACGGGAAUAAAGUAUCCUACGUGUAGGAUUUUGUAUGUACCGUAUGAAUAAGCAUCGGCUAACUCCGUGCCAGCAGCCGCGGUAAUACGGAGGAUGCGAGCGUUAUCCGGAUUUAUUGGGUUUAAAGGGAGCGCAGACGGGAGAUUAAGUCAGUUGUGAAAGUUUGCGGCUCAACCGUAAAAUUGCAGUUGAUACUGGUUUCCUUGAGUGCAGUUGAGGCAGGCGGAAUUCGUGGUGUAGCGGUGAAAUGCUUAGAUAUCACGAAGAACUCCGAUUG